This 181-nucleotide unclassified non-coding RNA is filed under the name uncultured Geomyces. Its description in RNAcentral is "sequence contains ITS1". Lineage: Eukaryota; Fungi; Ascomycota; Leotiomycetes; Myxotrichaceae. The record is from RNAcentral.
CAGUUAUAGCAACCCCGGACCGCUAAGGCGGACCCCGGGGCAUACCUAUACCACCCUUUGUUUAUCACACCUCUGUUGCUUUGGCAGGCCUGUCUCCGGACUGCCGGCUCCGGCCGGCGAGCGCCUGCCAGAGGACCUAAACUCUGUUUGUCUAUACUGUCUGAGUACUAUAUAAUAGUUA